This 69-nucleotide transfer RNA is filed under the name Popa spurca spurca. Its description in RNAcentral is "tRNA-Leu". Lineage: Eukaryota; Metazoa; Arthropoda; Insecta; Mantodea; Mantidae. The record is from RNAcentral.
UCUAAUAUGGCAGAAAUAAGUGCAGCGGAUUUAAGCCCCGCAAAUAAAGUCUUAAUACUUUUUUUAGAA